UGGACUGUAACUGACGCUGAGGCACGAAAGCGUGGGUAGCAAACAGGAUUAGAUACCCUGGUAGUCCACGCCGUAAACGAUGGAUACUAGGUGUAGGGGGUAUCAACUCCCUCUGUGUCGCAGUUAACACAAUAAGUAUCCCGCCUGGGGAGUACGGUCGCAAGAUUAAAGCUCAAAGGAAUUGACGGGGGCCCGCACAAGCAGCGGAGCAUGUGGUUUAAUUCGAAGCAACGCGAAGAACCUUACCUGGACUUGACAUCCCUUGCAUAGCCUAGAGAUAGGUGAAGCCCUUCGGGGCAAGGAGACAGGUGGUGCAUGGUUGUCGUCAGCUCGUGUCGUGAGAUGUUUGGUUAAGUCCUGCAACGAGCGCAACCCUUGUUAUUAGUUGCUACCAUUAAGUUGAGCACUCUAAUGAGACUGCCUGGGUAACCAGGAGGAAGGUGGGGAUGACGUCAAAUCAUCAUGCCCCUUAUGUCCAGGGCUACACACGUGCUACAAUGGUAGGUACAAUAAGAGGCAAGACCGUGAGGUGGAGCAAAACUUAUAAAGCCUAUCUCAGUUCGGAUUGUAGGCUGCAACUCGCCUACAUGAAGCUGGAGUUGCUAGUAAUCGCGAAUCAGAAUGUCGCGGUGAAUACGUUCCCGGGCCUUGUACACACCGCCCGUCACACCAUGAGAGCUGGUAACACCCGAAGUCCGUGAGGCAACCGUAAGGAGCCAGCGGCCGAAGGUGGGAUUAGUGAUUGGGGUGAAGUCGUAACAAGGUAGCCGUAGGAGAACCUGCGGCUGGAUCACCUCCUU
This 800-nucleotide ribosomal RNA is filed under the name bacterium enrichment culture. RNAcentral describes it as "bacterial SSU rRNA". It matches the Rfam family "Bacterial small subunit ribosomal RNA", at positions 730 to 1532 of the family's 1533-position model. The record is from RNAcentral.